Molecule: ribosomal RNA, 354 nt
Filed under: uncultured bacterium
Lineage: Bacteria
Description: bacterial SSU rRNA
Rfam family: Bacterial small subunit ribosomal RNA
Source: RNAcentral
AGAGUUUGAUCAUGGCUCAGGAUGAACGCUAGUUACAGGCUUAACACAUGCAAGUCGAGGGGGAAACGACAUCGAAAGCUUGCUUUUGAUGGGCGUCGACCGGCGCACGGGUGAGUAACGCGUAUCCAACCUGCCCACCACUUGGGGAUAACCUUGCGAAAGUAAGACUAAUACCCAAUGACGUCUCUAGAAGACAUCUGAAGGAGAUUAAAGAUUUAUCGGUGAUGGAUGGGGAUGCGUCUGAUUAGCUUGUUGGCGGGGUAACGGCCACCAAGGCGACGAUCAGUAGGGGUUCUGAGAGGAACGGUCCCCCACAUUGGAACUGAGACACGGUCCAAACUCCGUACGGGAGCA